This 520-nucleotide ribosomal RNA is filed under the name uncultured bacterium. Its description in RNAcentral is "bacterial SSU rRNA". It matches the Rfam family "Bacterial small subunit ribosomal RNA", at positions 801 to 1324 of the family's 1533-position model. The record is from RNAcentral.
CGUAAACGAUGAGUACUAGCUGUCGGAGGUUACCCCCUUCGGUGGCGCAGUUAACGCAUUAAGUGCUCCGCCUGGGGAGUACGUUCGCAAGAAUAAAACUCAAAGGAAUUGACGGGGACCCGCACAAGCAGCGGAGCAUGUGGUUUAAUUCGAAGCAACGCGAAGAACCUUACCAGGGCUUGACAUCCUGCUGAAAGACCGGGUAACGCCGGUCCCUCUUCGGACAGCAGUGACAGGUGGUGCAUGGUUGUCGUCAGCUCGUGUCGUGAGAUGUUGGGUUAAGUCCCGCAACGAGCGCAACCCUUGCCAUUAGUUGCCAGCAUUCAGUUGGGCACUCUAAUGGGACUGCCGGGGACAACUCGGAGGAAGGUGGGGAUGACGUCAAAUCAUCAUGCCCCUUAUGUUCUGGGCUACACACGUGCUACAAUGGUCGGUACAACGAGAGGCAAGAUCGUGAGAUGGAGCAAAUCUUCAAAACCGGCCCCAGUUCGGAUUGCAGGCUGCAACUCGCCUGCAUGAA